CUUUUGCCUUCUAAUUCGUCUAAUCAGAAAGGGGGCAUAGGGUUUCAAUCUCUCUCUCUCUCUCUCUCUGAUGAUGAAGGCCGAAUGAAUUGCUGAGGGUUACUAGGCUCAACUCAUCUCCUCUUCGGCUGUGAAUCUGAAAUCAAAGGAAGGUUUCAAUCUCUCUCUGGACACCCCUUCUUCGUCUUGGUCUUCAUUUUCAUCUUCAUCUUCAUCUUCAUCUUGAACAGAACCAAAAAAUCCCUAUCUCUCUCUCACUCUCUGUUCUUCUUGAGCAGAACCAAAAAGCGCUACCCAGAAAACCCACUCUCUGUUCUUCUCACCCACGCUUCUCCUCAUUCCCUUACAUCCCUUACAACCGUUCGGAUUUCAAUUUACAACUCGCAAGGGGUAAGAUUUGUAUUCGGUCACUGUUGUACCGACGCUGUUUCCUUCGAGCUCGCAAGAUUCGACAAUUGGCACAAGAUAUCAGGGAGUUAACAGUAACCCGUCCCAUAACCAUUUUCAAUGGGAACUCUAACUCUACUUCCACUAAAGGUUAAAUAGUCAUGGGUAAGGGAUUCAAAGGCAAAUGAGUCAGGAGGAAAGGGAAAGGGAAAGGGAAAACAGGCAGUGUGAGGAAGUGAUGAUAGUGCUUCAAAAAGUAAAGGAAAAGGUGCAAAGACAGAUGGGCUUGGCACCUACACAUAUGUCAAAGCAAGGCAUAUCUUAUGUGAGAAGCAAGGGAAGAUUAAUGAAGCAUACAAGAAGCUACAAGAUUGCUAGAAAUGAAAUGGAGAUAAGGUUCCACCUGCUGAGUUCACAAAGCUAGCAGCGGAAUAUUCAGAGUGUCCAUCAGGUAAGAAUGGUGGAGACUUGGGAUGGUUUCCACGAGGCAAGAUGACUGGUCCAUUUCAGGAUGUUGCCUUUAGUACACUUGUUGGAGCUACCAGUGCACCAUUUAAAUCAACACCAGCUAUCUCUGUUAUGCUAUUGAUGGCACAUGUAUGGAUACCACAUUAUCUUGUCUGAAGGGAGGAAGAAUUGACAGAACUUGACAUUUGAAGUUAGGCUCUCUUGGAUUAUCAACCAUGAAAUCGAAGACUUUGGCUUGAUGUUGGCAUGGCAUUUAGAACAUAAUUGACUUGAUGAUGAUUCACCUUCUUAGAUAUUGAUGAGCCAAGAGAAGUCCGAACCCAGCCCCAGUGAAGUCUACGUGGAACAACAAAGGUUUUGGGAGAGUUAGCCCUUGUGUCUUACGCAUGAGACCUGUCUUCGUCCUUUUGUUAUGUAUUUAUAUUCUGUCAUGUUGGCGAAGACUUUGCAUCUGUUGUAUAUAGUCGUGAUGGGUUGACUUAGACUUAUAUGAUUCUGUAUGUAUAGAACCUUAUGUUGUACAUAUUUUGUUGUGAGUUAUUAAUAUGCAUAUGUACGGUUUGUUAUGAUGUGCCAUGUAAGCACAGCUCUAUAGACAAUGUUUUAAAUUGCUUUCGUUUGGCCCCCAUUAACUCUGUUAAAAUAUGUUUGGUUUGGUUCAAGGCCGUAGGUAAUCUCUUGAUUACUGGCCGGUUAUGUCCUUAACCCACAGGGACGGGUUCGGGUCAUGAAAAAAAUGGUCUUUGAUAUGCAAAUCAUUAACAUAUUAUUUGUUUUUCUAAGACAAGGAUAAAACUCUUGUAGAGUUGUUAGUUUUUUUUCUUUUAUCAACCUCUUACAGAAAAUUAGGUUUUGGAUUCAGUAGAGAUACAACAGUAUAUAUAUAUAUUUAUUUAUUUAUUUAUUAUGUAUAUUGUGGGACAGUGGUUUGGAAAUACUCUUUGGAUCUAAUAAGACGCUUGAGAUCCACAGCUAGUCACCUGAAAAGGAAUGAACAUUCCGGUCGGCGGUGUCGGAAUUAGCACUCCAACGGAUAAGUCAGUGUAUACUCUCUUAGUUGUUUGUAUUUUAAGUUAAGCUUGCUUUUUCUCAUAUACUUUUUUUUGACUGUUGUUCCUCUAUUUAUACUCGUUUCCUGGGCCUCUAGGCCUGGCCCACUUUUCUCCCAUUAUCCUCUUAUUUAUUCGGCUCCUCCCAUGAUGAAGCAAUUAUCACUCGGCUCCAUAAUCCAAUAACUAUUUGGCCUAUUUAUUAUAUUCGGCCUCCGGAUCAUACAGGAUAGGGCUGGAUAAUGUCUAUCUCCUAGGCCUCCAAGUGUAUACUCGGCUCAUCUGAUUUCGCUAUUAUUCAGCUCCCACAUAUAUGAAUAUAAAUUUAUAAUACAUUGAUAUGAGAGACAUUGAUGCAUAUGUGGGUAUAUUAUUAAUUUUACUAGUUUUUCCCUCUUUGACCCUAAAACAAAAUAUAAUAAUUAACAAAAUGUCUCCAAAAUGUCCAUGAACACAAAGGGCCAUUAAGACUUAAGAUGAGAUAGCAUCAAUUGUUUGUGAAUGUGGGAAAGACUAUAACACUGGUGUUUGGAGAUUGCUUGGUCAUGUUGCGAUUAAGAUAUUUGACUGGAUUGUUUAAGAGCAAUGGCUAAUAUAUUUUGAAGUUGGGGGUAUUCAGUAAAAUAUGCACAAUACUUUGUCACAUGAAACAAAAUCGACGAUUUAAUUAAAAACAAUGUGAGGGUGAUCCAAAAAUAGUGUCUCUUUUAGAUGCGGUUCUAAUCUUGCGUUAGAUCGUCAACAAGUGCUUUAAUCCUUUCAGAAAUCCAAAAGUAGUGUUAACAUUCUUGGCUAAUAUGCAUCAUAAUUUAGUGGGUGUCAUCCUUUAUGUUUUGAUGGCCAGAUAUCUUCCAUUUGAUGACAUAGACCGUCUAACCUUGUACAAAAAGGUUACUUGCUCUUAUUCUUUUACAUGCAAUUUUGCUUCUCUCUAGUUGAAUUAAUUUCAGUGUGUGAACACUUUGCCCAACUGAUCAUAGAAAAAAAAUAUUAUAUUUGACAGAUUGAGAUAAGUCUAGUUAUCUCCAUCCUAAAUGAAACCCACCUUAGCUUCCAUAACUAUUGCAUAAUCUUUCGUUGUUCUUUAACUUGUUCUUGAUCGUUAAUAAAUUAGAACAUGGUCAAAGCAAUUCUUUUCAACUUAGCAAGUAAAGUUCUGGACAAGCUAUUCUUUUCAAUUGGAGGAAGAGACAGUGCGAUUUACAUUAAAGAUUCACGUAUCACUGGCUUGCCAAGGUACUUGACCAUUCAAUUUGUGCGGUUUUUCUGGAAAAGGGAAUCAAAUUAGAAGGCCAAGAUUUUGUGGGUAACUUCAGUUUUCAACAUGCUUACAUUUUUUAAGGAGAAUGCAUCCCUGCACUGUACCCCUGUUUGCUGUGGCAUGGUUAGGUCCUACCUGGUGAAGUUGGGGGUCAAGCUCCCAGGAGGACAAAAACCUUGACACUAAGAGAAGUCCUUGGUAAAAGCUUAAAUGCUUGGAUAAUGGGUGGUCCAUUAAUCUAAGUUCAUGCAACUUGGGCCUGUGACCACCUCUCGGAUGCUUCAUUGUAAAAUAAUGUACUUUAUGUAUUCUUUGAAUUUGGCCAGGAAAACUUUGCAGAUAUUUUGAUCAUAUUUUUGUAUGCCCUUUUAAUGAUAUUCUUUUUGGACAGUUUUGAAGUUGAAGAUAAUUUUUGAUGUUUAGAAAUAUAGUUUUUGGAUGGUUUGGAAUGUACAGACAGUUUUUGGAUGUU
Molecule: non-coding RNA, 3637 nt
Organism: Camellia sinensis
Lineage: Eukaryota; Viridiplantae; Streptophyta; Magnoliopsida; Ericales; Theaceae
Source: RefSeq, a predicted model, not a curated record